AGGGUAAAAUACUAGCAGGAUAGAGUAUCUUUAGGGAGAUUGGAACUCAAGGAGGAGUAGUGAAAUGCGUUGAUACCUUGGGGAACACCAGUGGCGAAGGCGAAUCUCUGAAAGACAACUGACACUGAGACACGAAAGCUAGGGUAGCGAAGCAGAUUAGAGACGUGCGUAGUCCUAGCCUUAAACGCAUGCUUGCUAGCCGCAUUUCCCCGCCUUUGGCGGGGGGGUGUAGCGAAGGUAACCCGUUAAGCAAGCUACCUGGGGAGUACGACCGCAAGGUUAAAACUCAAAGGAAUUGGCGGGGAGGCACACAACCAGUGGAACAUGUGGUUCAAUUCGAUACGAACCGAAAAACCUCACCAGGGUUUGACAUACUAUCGUUUAUUCUCCUAGAAAUGGGGGGAAAUCCGCAAGGAUGAUAGUACAGGUGCUGCAUGGCUGUCGUCAGCUCGUUCCGUGAGGAGUGCCCUUAAGUGGGACAACGAGCGCAACCCCUAUCUUGUGUUAAAUCUGUCACAAGAUACUGCCCCAGCUUAGCUGGGGAGGAAGGAGGGGCAGACGUCAAGUCAGCAUGGUCCUUAUACCCUGGGCCACACACAUGUUACAAUGGGAUGAGCAACGGGUUUUGCCAAACGGCAACGUUUCAGCAAAUCCCUAAAACCAUCCCUCAGUGGGGAUUGAGGUCUGCAACUCGACCUCAUGAACGCGGAAUUGGUAGUAAUCGCGGAUCAGUCACGCCGCGGUGAAUACGUUCUUGCCUCUUGCACACACCGCCCGUCAAGCCAACAAAGUCGGGGAUAUUUGAAUCCCGCACAUGCGGGAGAAAAUGUCGCCGGCGAUGGGGGUUAAGUCGUAACAAGGUAACC
Molecule: ribosomal RNA, 866 nt
Filed under: uncultured bacterium
Lineage: Bacteria
Description: bacterial SSU rRNA
Rfam family: Bacterial small subunit ribosomal RNA
Source: RNAcentral